RNAcentral lists this unclassified non-coding RNA (1525 nucleotides) under Leishmania donovani. RNAcentral describes it as "gene:LdHU3.36.7790(CDS-product:hypothetical_prote in_conserved)". The record is from RNAcentral. Lineage: Eukaryota; Euglenozoa; Kinetoplastea; Trypanosomatida; Trypanosomatidae.
CCCUGCACGACGCCGUUGACGUCUCCUGCCGCCUCGAACUUGCGGUCCACGAGAAGGCGCCUAGCCCGUCGCCGCUUUCAUGAGCACGGCAAUGGCAGGUUUUUCGAGAGCAGCCGAGGACUAUCCAGCGCUCACCACCCGCGCCGUCUUGGACGCCUACGCACAAUACAUCGUUGCGGGCUCUCAUUCCAGUGAUGCCCUACGCCCGGAUGGCGUGGGCGGUGCCGAGGCGCAUGAUGUGCCCAAGAGCGUCGAGGAGGCGCUGGCGCCGCUUGAGAUUCUCUAUGGGAAAACGGCGCUGUCAGCCAUUGGCAUCGCGUUGCACGGGGCCGAGCCCGUCAUACGAUAUGUGGAGCGUGCUGAGGCGGACUUUGCCGACGACGACGAGUCGCCGAAGAUGGCGGGCGAUGACGUCGAGUGCGUGCACCGUGAAGCUCAGCGUGCGAAGCGCUCCGGUGCUGUCGCCGUGUCGUCCACCGCUCGCUCAAACGCUGUCUCCCAGCAGGAAGAUCAGGAGAGCGCAGCUGCAGUCUCCUCACUGGUGGCCGUGCAGCGGGCACGCUGUCUCUACCAGAUCGGCGAGCACACACUCUUCUCUCCCUACUACUGCCCCUGCUCUGCGUACGCGUACCAGUCGAUUCAGCGGCAGGAGGUGUGGUGCUGCAAGCACAUGCUGGCGCUGCAGCUCGCCUUGCGCAUCGAGGCCACCGGAGUGGUGCAGGACAACCUUUCUGUGCGCAUCGUCAGCCCUGCCGAGUACGAGCAGCUGCUGCUGCACUCCCUCUGAAUCAACGGAGCAGACCCGGUGGACGAGACGAGUGCGUGAUGCUCUCGGCAAGUGUUGGUUCGCCGAUGAUGUCUGCUCGCUGCCGUGACGUCCGUGUAAACUGCCACAAGGCUGCUUCUCUCUUUGUUUCUGUUGUGGGGGGGGGGGGGUUCACUGCCGCUGCUGCUCUUGCUUGCCUUGUCUUCUCCCCGACUUUUUCUCUGGCGCCCGUGAAAUUGGAGGGGGUGAACGAGCGAAGCGAAAAAACGAAGGCAGGACUGUGUCUCCUCCUUCCCUUCACCCCGCCUUUCGCCUUGCAGAUCGAGGGACUGGCGGAGGCGCCUCAGCAUCACGCCCGGAGUGGCGAUUUGGCAGCGGUGUCGAAAGAAGAGGGAGGAGGGAGAAGACAGCGCGAUGCAGCCAAAAGGUGCAUAACGUCGGCGGCGAGUGUCAGCAUCUCCACCGCUGCUAUUCUUGCUCUUCCAAAAGCACGGGAGUAGCCCCACACACGUGCACACGUUUGUCCACGGACUUCCCAUCGCUCUCUGUGGCACACACUUUCUCCUCCCCCUCCCUCCUUCUCUCUCUAUCUCUCUCGAUGGCUACACAAUGAUGGCGCGACGAGUGCGCACUGAAUCCUUGGUGAAAACGGCCUCUCCUCUGCUCUGCUCUGCCUCACGCGCUGGACGAGCGACGGAACGAAACACCCACCCACCCACACACGCACUUUCAUGUGCUUACCUAAUGACUAUCGCACAG